ACCUCGACCUCCCUACCACCGACCUCCGCGACGUCUCCACUCAUCGCUCACCAUCUUUCUUCCGCUAUCCCGUCUCCGCCCCCAGGCACCUCCCGGCUUCCCUAGCCUCCUCCCUCCACUCCUUCUCCUGUGACACCUCCCUUCGCCGCCUCACCGACGUGUGGCUCUUCCGCCUCCAGAACCUCACCAACCUCUCCGUUGUCGGCGCCGCCAUCUCCACCAGCAGCCCCGCCGUCGUCCUCUCCCAGAUGCGACGCCUCCGCCCGGCAGAAUCAAGCUUUUUGGCCGUCAUCAUCUCCACACUAUUUUUUUUUUUUGCCGAUCCGAUGUAGUUUUUGCCAUGAAACGGGGGAAAUCGAAGACAGAUGCGUCCAAGAAGUCAGAACAAGUGGUUGCUCAUUCAUGCUGGGAUUUGAUAAUCUUAGAAGCCAAAGUGUUGCUCCUCCUCAGUGGACAAUGAGAAACAAAGGUGACAGGUGAUUGCCUCCCAAACUACUCUGCGUCAGAGAUGGAUACAAGGAUAUGCUCUAUAAAGAAUGCACUCAUUUAUUCAUUUCCUCUUGUAGGAACCGCAUACUUCUAUGCAUUUUAAACAUGAGCAAGGAGAUAUUGGGACGUCUUCCAAAAGUUGUUGGGAUAGACAUAGUGGAGAUGGCUCUCUGGGCAAAGGUAUGUUAUGGGAAUUGGUGAAGCAGAAGCAUUUUCAGAAAGGUUAAAGAGGGAACUUCUGGCUUUAGAAGCAGCAAAUGUUCAUGCACUUGUUGAAUGUGAAUCCAU
This is a long non-coding RNA of Zingiber officinale, 777 nucleotides long. RefSeq lists it as uncharacterized. The transcript is spliced from 3 exons. The record is from RefSeq and is a predicted model, not a curated record. NCBI's taxonomy places the organism in Eukaryota, Viridiplantae, Streptophyta, Magnoliopsida, Zingiberales, Zingiberaceae.